Molecule: long non-coding RNA, 2751 nt
Filed under: Homo sapiens (human)
Lineage: Eukaryota; Metazoa; Chordata; Mammalia; Primates; Hominidae
Description: HSALNT0107955
Source: RNAcentral
AAGUGCUGGGAUUACAGGCAUGAGCCACCGCGCCCAGCCUCACCACAGUCAUUUUCAUUUAAAAAAAAGGAUGACUUUUUCUCCCCCUGAGAAAUGUAUUUCUCCUAUCUCCAUACCCACUCCUUCCAAAAUGGGAAGCCUCAGAAGUCCUGUUAUACUACAGAACCUAGUCUACAGUUCACUGCAUCAGGUUUUCGGGAGAAGCACAUGAGCAGGCCAACUUACCUUGAAGCUGGUAUUCAAGUUUCCUGGAAUUCUUGGUUUAGGAAACAUCAGCACCAGCUGUCCAGCUGCUCAAGUGAAAAACGUGGAAGUCAUUCCUUCUCCCUUAGCCCCUGAUCCAAUCACUCUGUACCUUCUUAAAUAUCUUUUGAAUCUGACCAUUUUCCUCCACCUCCACUAGUACUAAUUUUGAAUUUAUCUAUUUUUAGUUAUUACACACAUUAGUGCAACACGCUAUAAUAUUUCUGUGCUAUAUCUUCCUCUGCUGUAAUCCAUUCCCCAUGUUAGUCAAAGUAAUUUUUUCAAAAUGUGAUUAUCACUAUGUCACUUCUUUACAUACAAUUCUUCAAUGUUUUCCCAUUGCACUGACUAUACAUUCUAAAAUUAUGUGUGUAUUAGUCCGUUCUCACACUGCUAUAAAUAACUGUCUGAGACUAGGUCAUUAAUAAAGGAAAGAUGUUUAAUUGACUCACAACUCUGCAGGGCUGGGGAGUUCUCAGUAAACUUACAACCAUGGUUGAAGGGGAAGAAUGCAUGUCUUUCUUCACAUGGUGGCGGGAAGGAGAAAUGGAGACUGAAAUGGAGAAAAGCUCCUUAUAAAACCAUCAGAUCUCAUGAGAACUCGCUCACUAUCAUGGGAACAGCACGAGGAAACUGCCCCCAUGAUCUAAUCACCUCCCAUAAGCUCCCUCCACCAACACAUGGGGAUUACAAUUCAGAUUACCAUUCAAGAUAAGAUUUGGGUGGGGACAGAGAGCCAGAUCAUAUCAAUAUGAUUGUUACUUAACUCUCCAACCACAUUUCCUAUUCAUAUUUUUCUAGUUCUCAACUUUCUGGAUCACGGUUUUACCACCUCAGAAAUACUGAUGUUUUGAACCAGAUAAUUCUUUGUUGUGGGGGCUUAUCUUGUGCAUCAUAGAAUAUUUAAGAGUAUCUCUGCCUCUCCUCACCUGUAGAAUCCCCACUAGGUGUGACAAAUGUUCCCAGUCAUUGGCCAAUGUCCCCUGAGGAGCAUAUCAUUUUGAUUGGGAGUCACUGUUCUAGGUACCUACUCAUUCUUUCAUGUAUUCAGUGUUCUUAGACCUCAAAUCUUUUGAAAAUUAUUUCUUCUUCCUGGAGUGUUCUUUUGGUGUUUCUAUUUAUUUUCUCACUAAUUUAAAGCUACUCCCUCUCAAUGUCAUACACCAAGCUAGUUUUACACUCUGAUAUCUUUUACACUUACUUUUAAAAUUAUUUACCCCCACAUCCCAUGCCAUUUUACAACUUUCUUUAAUGUGCUAUGUUCCUGCUCAUCAGGAGGACUUUGCUCACAGUCUUUCAAAUUUCGUGCUAAUGGCCCUACCUUUGUCUCAUUAAAAUCUAAUCAUAAAGCCUGUGUCACUUCCUUCAGGAAAACUUCCUGAGCACCACAGACUAUCAUUCUCCUUUUGUUGCUGUUAAUAUACUUUCAUAAAUUAUGUUUCAUUAAGUCAUAACAACUGUUUGCAUUUUUGUAUUUAUUUGUGUAAUGAGCUGGUUAAUACAGUUCAAAUUCACUAGUCUUUGUCUUCAAUGAAAAUGAGAACCAUGUUUGCUUUGGCUUAACAUUUUGUCUCUAGCACUGACCGAGAGUCUGAUACAAAAUAGACACUUAGUAUAUACUCAUUGAAUGAGAAUGAAUGAGGAACAUUUCCCAUAAUUAUAAUUGGAUAAUGAGUUAUGUAAUUAUGCUUGCAACCCGGAAUGUGAGCUUCCUGAAAUCUAGGACCUUAUCUUUGCCUGGAACGACUAUAUCCACAUUGCCUAAAUCCUCAAUAAUUAUUUUUCUCAAGGGAAUGAGGGCGUCCUAGAAAUAACUCAUUUUUCUUGGAAGUUAAACAUAAACAUUUAUAUCACAAAAUUUUAGAUUUUAAUAGACCUUAGACAUCUACAGGACCUUUAAAAUUUUUUUAGAUGACCAUGCAUAUAAUACUCAUGAUCAUAUACUCAUAUAAUACUGCACAUAAUCUCAGUGCAGUGUAAUACUAGAAUCUGCUCUCCUGACACUUACACAUUACUUUUCUCAUUUGGUUAGUAUCACCGGCCAGGUAUGUUUGAAAACUACAAAAUACUCUAUGAUGUAAGUAUUCACAAUUCUUGCACACCUACAAAUACCCUUAACUGCUAAUGUUCAUUACUUUUCUAUUUAUCUUAUUCCAAUUAUUUUUCUCUCCUACUCAGUCUUUGUGUAGUUUCAAAUGUAAUUUCUUUAAUAAUUCCUGUUGCAAUAGUUGAUGCCACAUUAAUACAUUAGUAGUCACAUAAUUUUAAUUCUAGUACAACUUUUGUUGUCAUUAUCAUGUUCAUGAAACUUAUUUAGACAACGUAAACAUAGACUCAGAUCUAUAAACUCCACAAAAAGUCACAUAUUUUUAAAUAAUUCCACUGAUAUCCAGAGUCCCUUAUUACCUUGCAACAAUUUGAACUAUGUGGAAUAAGCAAUAGUGUUUAUAGUUAAUAAAAUUGUAUUUUAUUAUUGAAAAUUGUUGAGAGAGUAGAUUUUAAUUGUUC